UACGUAGGGGGCGAGCGUUGUCCGGAAUUACUGGGCGUAAAGGGUGCGUAGGUGGCCUUUUAAGUUGGAUGUGAAAUACCCGGGCUUAACUUGGGGGGUGCAUCUAAUACUGGAGGGCUAGAGUGCAGGAGAGGAAAGCGGAAUUCCUAGUGUAGCGGUGAAAUGCGUAGAUAUUAGGAGGAACACCAGUGGCGAAGGCGGCUUUCUGGACUGUAACUGACACUGAGGCACGAAAGCGUGGGGAGCAAAC
This 250-nucleotide ribosomal RNA is filed under the name uncultured archaeon. RNAcentral describes it as "partial 16S ribosomal RNA". It matches the Rfam family "Bacterial small subunit ribosomal RNA", at positions 524 to 773 of the family's 1533-position model. The record is from RNAcentral.